This 593-nucleotide ribosomal RNA is filed under the name bacterium PE03-6G27. Its description in RNAcentral is "bacterial SSU rRNA". It matches the Rfam family "Bacterial small subunit ribosomal RNA", at positions 286 to 879 of the family's 1533-position model. The record is from RNAcentral.
ACUGGUGUGAGAGCACGACCAGUCACACGGGCACUGAGACACGGGCCCGACUCCUACGGGAGGCAGCAGUAAGGAAUAUUGGUCAAUGGACGCAAGUCUGAACCAGCCAUGCCGCGUGGAGGAUGAAGGCCCUCUGGGUUGUAAACUUCUUUUAUCUGGGACGAAAAAGGGACUUUCUAGUUCAACUGACGGUACCAGAGGAAUAAGCACCGGCUAACUCCGUGCCAGCAGCCGCGGUAAUACGGAGGGUGCAAGCGUUAUCCGGAUUCACUGGGUUUAAAGGGUGCGUAGGUGGGUUGGUAAGUCAGUGGUGAAAUCUCCAGGCUUUACUUGGAAACUGCCAUUGAUACUAUUAAUCUUGAAUACCGUGGAGGUCAGCGGAAUAUGUCAUGUAGCGGUGAAAUGCUUAGAUAUGACAUAGAACACCAAUUGCGAAGGCAGCUGGCUACACGAAUAUUGACACUGAUGCACGAAAGCGUGGGGAUCAAACAGGAUUAGAUACCCUGGUAGUCCACGCCCUAAACGAUGGAUACUCGACAUACGCGAUAUACUGUGUGUGUCUGAGCGAAAGCAUUAAGUAUCCCACCUGGGAA